AGUAGUCAGCAAAACACUACUUUAGAAAAUACUACCUCCUCUUGUAUUACAAGUUGUGUUUUUUUCCAGAAAUGUGAAAAAGAGAACAAAAGGAGCUAAGGAUAAAACAUUAGAUGAAGAUUCAGAAGGUAGUGAUGAUGAACUUGGUAACCUGGAUGACGAUGAAGUUUCUUUAGGAAGUAUGGAUGGUGAAGAAUUUGCUGAAGUUGAUGAAGAUGGAGGAACAUUCAUGGAUGUGUUAGAUGAUGAAAGUGAGCGCGUUCCAGAACUUGAAGCCCACUCCAAAGUCAGUACUAAGAAAAGCAAGAGAAAAGGUACAGAUGAUUUUGACUUUGCUGGCUCAUUUCAAGGGCCAAGAAAAAAGAAAAGAAACUUAAAUGAUUCCAGCCUAUUUGUAUCUGCUGAAGAGUUUGGCCAUCUAUUGGAUGAAAAUAUGGGAUCCAAGUUUGAUAACACUGGCAUGAAUGCCAUGGCUAACAAAGAUAAUGCAAGUCUCAAACAGCUUAGAUGGGAGGCUGAACGUGAUGACUGGCUACACAACAGAGAUGCAAAAAGUAUCAUCAAGAAAAAGAAACAUUUUAAAAAGAAGAGGAUUAAAACCACUCAAAAAA
Molecule: small RNA, 611 nt
Filed under: Pan troglodytes (chimpanzee)
Lineage: Eukaryota; Metazoa; Chordata; Mammalia; Primates; Hominidae
Description: retained intron
Source: RNAcentral